UACGUAGGGUGCAAGCGUUUGUCCGGAAUUAUUGGGCGUAAAGAGCUCGUAGGCGGUUUGUUGCGUCGGCUGUGAAAACCUGAGGCUCAACCUCAGGCCUGCAGUCGAUACGAGCAGACUAGAGUGUUGCAGGGGAGACUGGAAUUCCUGGUGUAGCGGUGAAAUGCGCAGAUAUCAGGAGGAACACCGGUGGCGAAGGCGGGUCUCUGGGCAAUAACUGACGCUGAGGAGCGAAAGCGUGGGGAGCGAACAGG
This 254-nucleotide ribosomal RNA is filed under the name uncultured bacterium. RNAcentral's name for it is "partial 16S ribosomal RNA". It matches the Rfam family "Bacterial small subunit ribosomal RNA", at positions 524 to 776 of the family's 1533-position model. The record is from RNAcentral.